RNAcentral lists this ribosomal RNA (451 nucleotides) under Escherichia coli. Its description in RNAcentral is "bacterial SSU rRNA". It matches the Rfam family "Bacterial small subunit ribosomal RNA", at positions 1 to 446 of the family's 1533-position model. Lineage: Bacteria; Pseudomonadati; Pseudomonadota; Gammaproteobacteria; Enterobacterales; Enterobacteriaceae. The record is from RNAcentral.
UUAAAUUGAAGAGUUUGAUCAUGGCUCAGAUUGAACGCUGGCGGCAGGCCUAACACAUGCAAGUCGAACGGUAACAGGAAGAAGCUUGCUUCUUUGCUGACGAGUGGCGGACGGGGGAGUAAUGUCUGGGAAACUGCCUGAUGGAGGGGGAUAACUACUGGAAACGGUAGCUAAUACCGCAUAACGUCGCAAGACCAAAGAGGGGGACCUUCGGGCCUCUUGCCAUCGGAUGUGCCCAGAUGGGAUUAGCUUGUUGGUGGGGUAACGGCUCACCAAGGCGACGAUCCCUAGCUGGUCUGAGAGGAUGACCAGCCACACUGGAACUGAGACACGGUCCAGACUCCUACGGGAGGCAGCAGUGGGGAAUAUUGCACAAUGGGCGCAAGCCUGAUGCAGCCAUGCCGCGUGUAUGAAGAAGGCCUUCGGGUUGUAAAGUACUUUCAGCGGGGAG